RNAcentral lists this ribosomal RNA (1436 nucleotides) under uncultured organism. RNAcentral describes it as "SSU rRNA". It matches the Rfam family "Bacterial small subunit ribosomal RNA". The record is from RNAcentral.
GCUUAACACAUGCAAGUCGAGGGGCAGCAUGGUCUUAGCUUGCUAAGGCCGAUGGCGACCGGCGCACGGGUGAGUAACACGUAUCCAACCUGCCGUCUACUCUUGGACAGCCUUCUGAAAGGAAGAUUAAUACAAGAUGGCAUCAUGAGUCCGCAUGUUCACAUGAUUAAAGGUAUUCCGGUAGACGAUGGGGAUGCGUUCCAUUAGAUAGUAGGCGGGGUAACGGCCCACCUAGUCUUCGAUGGAUAGGGGUUCUGAGAGGAAGGUCCCCCACAUUGGAACUGAGACACGGUCCAAACUCCUACGGGAGGCAGCAGUGAGGAAUAUUGGUCAAUGGGCGAGAGCCUGAACCAGCCAAGUAGCGUGAAGGAUGACUGCCCUAUGGGUUGUAAACUUCUUUUAUAAAGGAAUAAAGUCGGGUAUGGAUACCCGUUUGCAUGUACUUUAUGAAUAAGGAUCGGCUAACUCCGUGCCAGCAGCCGCGGUAAUACGGAGGAUCCGAGCGUUAUCCGGAUUUAUUGGGUUUAAAGGGAGCGUAGAUGGAUGUUUAAGUCAGUUGUGAAAGUUUGCGGCUCAACCGUAAAAUUGCAGUUGAUACUGGAUAUCUUGAGUGCAGUUGAGGCAGGCGGAAUUCGUGGUGUAGCGGUGAAAUGCUUAGAUAUCACGAAGAACUCCGAUUGCGAAGGCGGCCUGCUAAGCUGCAACUGACAUUGAGGCUCGAAAGUGUGGGUAUCAAACAGGAUUAGAUACCCUGGUAGUCCACACGGUAAACGAUGAAUACUCGCUGUUUGCGAUAUACUGCAAGCGGCCAAGCGAAAGCGUUAAGUAUUCCACUUGGGGAGUACGCCGGCAACGGUGAAACUCAAAGGAAUUGACGGGGGCCCGCACAAGCGGAGGAACAUGUGGUUUAAUUCGAUGAUACGCGAGGAACCUUACCCGGGCUUAAAUUGCAGAUGAAUUACGGUGAAAGCCGUAAGCCGCAAGGCAUCUGUGAAGGUGCUGCAUGGUUGUCGUCAGCUCGUGCCGUGAGGUGUCGGCUUAAGUGCCAUAACGAGCGCAACCCUUGUUGUCAGUUACUAACAGGUUCCGCUGAGGACUCUGACAAGACUGCCAUCGUAAGAUGUGAGGAAGGUGGGGAUGACGUCAAAUCAGCACGGCCCUUACGUCCGGGGCUACACACGUGUUACAAUGGGGGGUACAGAGGGCCGCUACCACGCGAGUGGAUGCCAAUCCCCAAAACCUCUCUCAGUUCGGACUGGAGUCUGCAACCCGACUCCACGAAGCUGGAUUCGCUAGUAAUCGCGCAUCAGCCACGGCGCGGUGAAUACGUUCCCGGGCCUUGUACACACCGCCCGUCAAGCCAUGGGAGCCGGGGGUACCUGAAGUGCGUAACCGCGAGGAGCGCCCUAGGGUAAAACUGGUGACUGGGGCUAAGU